This 646-nucleotide ribosomal RNA is filed under the name uncultured Sebacinaceae. RNAcentral describes it as "eukaryotic LSU rRNA". It matches the Rfam family "Eukaryotic large subunit ribosomal RNA", at positions 37 to 668 of the family's 3401-position model. Lineage: Eukaryota; Fungi; Basidiomycota; Agaricomycetes; Sebacinales; Sebacinaceae. The record is from RNAcentral.
UGCAUAUCAAUAAGCGGAGGAAAAGAAACUAACAAGGAUUCCCCUAGUAACGGCGAGUGAAGAGGGAAGAGCUCAAAUUUUGAAUCUGGAGUCUCUGGCGUCCGAAUUGUAAUCUAGAGAAGUGUUUUCCGUGACGGACCGUGCACAAGUCUCCUGGAAUGGAGCGUCAUAGAGGGUGAGAAUCCCGUAUAUGGCAUGGACCCCCGUUGCUCUGUGAUACACUCUCGACGAGUCGAGUUGUUUGGGAAUGCAGCUCCAAAUGGGUGGUAAAUGCCAUCUAAAGCUAAAUAUUGGCGAGAGACCGAUAGCGAACAAGUACCGUGAGGGAAAGAUGAAAAGCACUUUGGAAAGAGAGUGAAACAGUACGUGAAAUUGUUGAAAGGGAAACGCUUGAAGUCAGUCGCGCCGUUCGGGAUUCAGCCUUGCUUCUGCUCGGUUUACUUCCCGUUGGGUGGGUCAACAUCAGUUUCGAUCGGAGGAGAAAGGCUCGGGGAAGGUAGCAGCAUCCGUGCUGUGUUAUAGCCCCUUGUUGUAUACUUCGAUUGGGACUGAGGACCGCAGCACGCCUCUGGCCGGGGUUCGCCCACGUACGUGCUUAGGAUGUUGGCAUAAUGGCUUUAAGCGACCCGUCUUGAAACACGGACCA